CCGUUCCUCUGGGGCAGCCCGGAGGCCACCAUGUAGGCAUCCCCAAUUGUCUCCACCUGAGGCCAGAAUUCAGUACUGAGCCUCCCCCACCAAUGCCACUGUCCCUGGUCAGGAGGCCUAAACUGGGCUCCAGCUCCUCUGUGCGCUCCCGGAUCAGGUCCUCCAGAUUACUGGAGUACUGUUCCAGCAUCCGCAGCAUUGAGUCGAUGAUGUUCAUCUUCCGGCCCUUGUUGAUGCUCUUGAACUAGUAGGAGGAGGAAGCUGGUGGGGCUGCUGGGGACCUGGGCUGCCAUGCCCCUCUCAUGCGGCCAUAUUAUGCCUGAUCCUCUGUCCACACCCCCUUUCAUCUCAUCCUCGUCAAGCCCACACCUCACCCUGUGCUGGGCACUGUGUUUUCACACAUUAUUUGCAGGUCAGCUGUUCUGUUAGUAACUGACAAGGGACUGAAACCAGCCCAGUCUUUGGACUCCCAAGCCAAGGGUCUCUUCCCCACACCAGGCCAAAUACAUACUCAAUAAAUGUUAUUUUAAUUGAAUUAAA
Molecule: long non-coding RNA, 540 nt
Organism: Bubalus bubalis (water buffalo)
Lineage: Eukaryota; Metazoa; Chordata; Mammalia; Artiodactyla; Bovidae
Exons: 2
Source: RefSeq, a predicted model, not a curated record